RNAcentral lists this microRNA (21 nucleotides) under Populus trichocarpa (black cottonwood). RNAcentral describes it as "ptc-miR6443". The record is from miRBase by way of RNAcentral. Lineage: Eukaryota; Viridiplantae; Streptophyta; Magnoliopsida; Malpighiales; Salicaceae.
GUAUGAUCAUAGAUGAUGGAG